GCUGGACCUCUCACCCAUCCCCUGACUCUGGGAGGAAAAUGUUUAGCUGGGAAGGCAGGGUCACCACGCACUCCAGGGGCAUUACUCAGCCGGGAAACAGCCCCGCUUCCUGUUGGCAUAUUUUCCUUUGGUUUUAGUCUCAAGUCUUAUUCUGCGGGGGGAAGACCUCCUAGAAUUCUAUUUUCUUGGGGGAAUGGAAAGAAAAGCAGCCUGAUGAAUGUGGGCUCACUUAGAAACCUCAGAUCUCAGACCAAUAAGGGCUUCCAGAUGCCUCAGCAGAGGGCAGCAUGAACUUCUGUGACGCGGACUUUGUCAUUCGUUUCGUCUCCUUGCACAUGUACCAGGGGCACCGACUUCAUGCCAGCUCCAUGCUAUACAUGGAGUCAGAGAUGGAAAGGAGCGCCACAGCCCGAGAGACUCAGCCCAAGGAAAAGACGGACAGGAAAAUGAAUGAGAGCAAUUGGCUUCUGUGGAUGCUGAGAUGGAGGGACAUGUGAGGAUGCAUUAGCUCUCCCUUGGCUCCUGGCUCUUGUGGACGCUCAGCCAAACAGGAGACUCCCCUCCACCUCCCCAGGCUGCUCCUACUUCUGGUUCGGCCUGAAACCCAGAAACCCCAGCAAGUGGCUCUGCUCCCCUAUGGCCACCGGAGCUCGGUAAGUGCCCAGUGAACGCUCACACAGAGAACCUUCCUGAAGCACACCUUGAGCCCGAUAGCUUUUAAACCACUUGGCAUCUUACAAAGCGCAAGAGACUCAUAUUAUUUGUCUCCUAAGUCUUGAGAUGAGUCAUCUUUUUUAAAGAUGAUUUUUCUGAUUAUAAACAGAACAUACAAAAGAAGGAAACACAGCAACAUACAAAAAGAAGGAAGAUUACCCACAAGCCCGCUGCCCAGAAG
This is a long non-coding RNA of Bos indicus x Bos taurus (hybrid cattle), 895 nucleotides long. The record is from Ensembl. NCBI's taxonomy places the organism in Eukaryota, Metazoa, Chordata, Mammalia, Artiodactyla, Bovidae.